RNAcentral lists this ribosomal RNA (521 nucleotides) under Limosilactobacillus reuteri. RNAcentral's name for it is "bacterial SSU rRNA". It matches the Rfam family "Bacterial small subunit ribosomal RNA", at positions 49 to 526 of the family's 1533-position model. The record is from RNAcentral. Lineage: Bacteria; Bacillati; Bacillota; Bacilli; Lactobacillales; Lactobacillaceae.
UAAUACAUGCAAGUCGUACGCACUGGCCCAACUGAUUGAUGGUGCUUGCACCUGAUUGACGAUGGAUCACCAGUGAGUGGCGGACGGGUGAGUAACACGUAGGUAACCUGCCCCGGAGCGGGGGAUAACAUUUGGAAACAGAUGCUAAUACCGCAUAACAACAAAAGCCACAUGGCUUUUGUUUGAAAGAUGGCUUUGGCUAUCACUCUGGGAUGGACCUGCGGUGCAUUAGCUAGUUGGUAAGGUAACGGCUUACCAAGGCGAUGAUGCAUAGCCGAGUUGAGAGACUGAUCGGCCACAAUGGAACUGAGACACGGUCCAUACUCCUACGGGAGGCAGCAGUAGGGAAUCUUCCACAAUGGGCGCAAGCCUGAUGGAGCAACACCGCGUGAGUGAAGAAGGGUUUCGGCUCGUAAAGCUCUGUUGUUGGAGAAGAACGUGCGUGAGAGUAACUGUUCACGCAGUGACGGUAUCCAACCAGAAAGUCACGGCUAACUACGUGCCAGCAGCCGCGGUAAUAC